GGUUUAAUUCGAUGAUACGCGAGGAACCUUACCCGGGCUUGAACUGCAGGAGAACGAUUCAGAGAUGAUGAGGUCCUUUCGGGACUCCUGUGGAGGUGCUGCAUGGUUGUCGUCAGCUCGUGCCGUGAGGUGUCGGCUUAAGUGCCAUAACGAGCGCAACCCCUCUCCGUAGUUGCCAUCGGGUAAUGCCGGGCACUCUGCGGACACUGCCACCGUAAGGUGUGA
Molecule: ribosomal RNA, 225 nt
Filed under: uncultured bacterium
Lineage: Bacteria
Description: partial 16S ribosomal RNA
Rfam family: Bacterial small subunit ribosomal RNA
Source: RNAcentral